UUGAAAGGGAAACGAUUGAAGUCAGUCGUACCCGACGGACAAUCAGCCUUUUGAGUGCGAUUCUGUGGGGCAUGAGGAGGAAACCCUCAUGUUUUCAUAUUUGUGCUCUUUGGGUGUAUUUGUUCGUAUGGUGGGUUAACAUCAAUUUUGGUCGUCAUAAAAUGACGGGAGGAAUGUAGCUUUGGUCUCGUAUUGAAGUGUUAUAGCCUCUGGUAGAUGUGACGACCGGGAUUGAGGAUUGCAACGGAUACCCCUCGGGGCUACUCGCCUGAUCUCUGAUCGUUACUCUGGUGCCGAAAGCUUGCUUAUGUCAUCAAUGUUGAUGGUCAAAAUGUUAUAUCUGGUUUAAUUCGUUAUUGAUGUUGACGUA
RNAcentral lists this ribosomal RNA (370 nucleotides) under Glomus sp. lpp31. RNAcentral describes it as "eukaryotic LSU rRNA". The record is from RNAcentral. Lineage: Eukaryota; Fungi; Glomeromycota; Glomeromycetes; Glomerales; Glomeraceae.